Molecule: non-coding RNA, 120 nt
Filed under: Nocardioides scoriae
Lineage: Bacteria; Bacillati; Actinomycetota; Actinomycetes; Propionibacteriales; Nocardioidaceae
Description: Marmoricola scoriae TPP sequence
Rfam family: TPP riboswitch aptamer (THI element)
About the family: Vitamin B(1) in its active form thiamin pyrophosphate (TPP) is an essential coenzyme that is synthesised by coupling of pyrimidine and thiazole moieties in bacteria. The previously detected thiamin-regulatory element, thi box was extended, resulting in a new, highly conserved RNA secondary structure, the THI element, which is widely distributed in eubacteria and also occurs in some archaea.
Source: RNAcentral
GACGUCCGACAGGGGAGCGCCGGGGGCCGUCGAGCCGGAGGCGCUGAGAGUGCGGGAGAGCCGCAGACCCUCGAACCUGCUCCGGUUAGUACCGGCGAAGGAAGUCGAAGGAGACUCCCG